RNAcentral lists this long non-coding RNA (1462 nucleotides) under Cricetulus griseus (Chinese hamster). RNAcentral describes it as "lncRNA (ENSCGRG00000025012.1)". The record is from RNAcentral. Lineage: Eukaryota; Metazoa; Chordata; Mammalia; Rodentia; Cricetidae.
AUGCGACACUUGGAGCUGUGGGUGAAUUACUACAUUCGAUGGAAUCCCAGAAUCAAGCAACAACCCAAUCCAGUGGAGCAGCGUUACAUGGAGCUCUUGGCCCUGCGUGAUGAUUAUAUAAAGAGGCUCGAGGAAUUGCACCUUGCCAACUCUGCCAAGCUUUCUGACCCUCCUGCUUCUCCUUCCAGUCCCUCACAGCUUACUGGUCUACCAAAUAAGACAUCUCAAUAUAGUAGUGUGAUGUAUGGAUUUUGUAAGUAUAAAAAGUUUAUUAGACAUUCUUUUGCUUUUUGUAAACGCUGUAAAUAUUUCAUAAAUUAAAAGUAUCACUCCACAAAAAGAAAAAAAUGCUAAUACUAAUAGCUCAAAGGAAUUUAUGAAAUUUCAUGAAGACAUUUUCAUGACAAUAAAUAUUAAGGACCUGCUGUAGUAAAUAUAUUAAAUAAAACCUAACACAAUUUCCAAGGAUAUAACUGUGUGUGUUUAAGAUGUGCACAGUGCCCACCUUAUUGCGUAUUUUCUUUUUCUGGAUCUACGUCACAUUUUUUUAAUCAUAGUAGCAACAUUUGUUUUCCUUUUUGUUGUUGUUGUUGUUUAACCUAAAGUCUCAUAUAACCCAGGUUGGCCUCCAACUCACUGUGUCACCAAAGCUGGCUUUGAACUCCAUAUCCUUCCUAUGUCCAUCUCACAGUCAUGCAUUGCCACAACCAGCUUAUUUCCUUUUCAGCUGAUAAAUGGUAAAAUGAAUUUACUAUUGAUGGACAGAUCUGGAAACCUUUAGGAAAAUGCACACCGAUGCUAGUUCACCACACACACAUACAUACAUACAUACAUACAUACAUACAUACAUACAUACCACACGAUAGAAAACAUCUCACCUUGACAAGGUAGCAUAAUUUCAUUCUGAAAAAAAUUAAAAUGGAAUCUCCAGGCUUUCCUAUUGUAGCUGAGGAUGAUCUUUGAACUCUUGAUACUCCUGCCUACACUUCCAAAACACUAGGAUAUGCUACUAUACCCAGUUUUUGUUCAGUGCUGGGGGUUGAAUUUAGAGCUCCCUGCCUUUAGGGACUCUGCCAGCAAAUAAUUUGCUGAUGAUAUAUGCAUGUAUGUAAGAUGAAUAAUCAUUGAGGGUUAUUAAAUAAAACUGUCAAUAAAAGCAAAUUUCUAGAGCUUUAAGUUAGUAUAUAUUUGCAACAUAGUAAAAUAAAUGUAUAAACUUACAGGAUGGAGAAAAACAGAAGUCUAAUAUAUAACAUAAAUGUAUGCAUCAUUAAAUUUAUAGUAUAGAAGAAAUGUUUUAAAGAUUUUUUAAAAAAAGAAAAAAUUGGAACUCAACCACACCUUUCAUCUGAAAUAUACAUUGACGCCACAAUGAGAUGUUAUGCCACACCCUUGUUUUGUUACAGGAAUUGACCCUAGGGACCACUAAGUACUAUACCACUGAGCCACAGCCCCAACUUUU